GCCUUCACUGUAUGAAUCAAACCUGAAUCCAGCCAUGUUCCAAUGUGUCAUAGAUACCCUGGUUAGAGUGGGAUAUAAUGAAACCAGUAUUUUUUUGUGUGUGUGUUUUUUUUUUCUCUGCUAAAUAAUAUUAUUGCCCAAU
This 142-nucleotide long non-coding RNA is filed under the name Pongo abelii (Sumatran orangutan). RNAcentral describes it as "lincRNA". The record is from RNAcentral. Lineage: Eukaryota; Metazoa; Chordata; Mammalia; Primates; Hominidae.